UUAGGGGAACUUAAUUUGAUACAACAACAUGGCACAGCUGGUGGUGAUGUUGUGUUUAGUUUUUAUAGUCGUAUCUGAUCAAAGUGUAAAUGGUCAGACACUGACUCAGUCUGAGCCUGCGGUAAUUAAACCUGGAGGAUCUCACACUCUGACCUGUACGGGUUCUGGAUUCACAUUCAGUAGCUACUCUAUGGGCUGGAUCAGACAGGCUCCUGGUAAAGGACUGGAAUGGAUAGCUCUGCACACUGGCAGCACAUACUACUCCCAGUCUGUUCAAGGACGCUUCACCAUCUCCAGAGACAACAGCAAGAGCCAGGUGUACUUACAGAUGACUUCCAUUAAAGCUGAAGACUCUGGGGUUUAUUACUGUGCCCGAGAGACACAGUGAUGAAUAGUAUACACAGACUCGUACAAAAAACAUCCACACAUCAUCUAUGUGGUUAUACACCCUUCUGUUAAGUGCUAAAAUUUAAUGUGGUGUUGAGUUCCAGUUAACCAAAAACCCAAAUGUUGAUAAUAUUAAUAAAAUCAAUUUAAAUCAAACUAAGCCCUAAAAACUGAAAUAAACA
Non-coding RNA from Astyanax mexicanus (Mexican tetra), 569 nucleotides. The record is from the annotation of a RefSeq genome assembly. Lineage: Eukaryota; Metazoa; Chordata; Actinopteri; Characiformes; Acestrorhamphidae.